UAGGGAGCGAGCGUUAUCCGGAAUUACUGGGUGUAAAGGGUGCGUAGGCGGCUAUGCAAGUCAGGCGUGAAAUGUACGAGCUUAACUCGUGAACUGCGUUUGAAACUGUAUAGCUUGAGUAGAGUAGAGGCAGGCGGAAUUUCCGGUGUAGCGGUGAAAUGCGUAGAGAUCGGAAGGAACACCAGUGGCGAAGGCGGUCUGCUGGGCUCAAACUGACGCUGAGGCACGAAAGCGUGGGUAGCA
Molecule: ribosomal RNA, 243 nt
Filed under: uncultured bacterium
Lineage: Bacteria
Description: partial 16S ribosomal RNA
Rfam family: Bacterial small subunit ribosomal RNA
Source: RNAcentral